RNAcentral lists this ribosomal RNA (446 nucleotides) under uncultured bacterium. RNAcentral describes it as "partial 16S ribosomal RNA". It matches the Rfam family "Bacterial small subunit ribosomal RNA", at positions 338 to 795 of the family's 1533-position model. The record is from RNAcentral.
CCUACGGGUGGCAGCAGUAGGGAAUUUUCGGCAAUGGGGGGAACCCUGACCGAGCAACGCCGCGUGAACGAAGAAGUUAUUCGUAAUGUAAAGUUCUUUUAACAGAGAAGAAAGAGAGAUUUGACGGUACCUGAAGAAUAAGCUCCGACUAACUACGUGCCAGCAGCCGCAGUAAUACGUAGGGAGCGCGCGUUAUCCGGAAUUAUUGGGCGUAAAGGGUGCGUAGAUGGCAUAGUAAGUCUUUUGUAAAAAGGCUGGGCUAAACCAAGUAGGGCAAAAGAUACUGCAAAGCUAGAGUAUGACAGAGGCAAGUGGAAAUACAUGUGUAGCGGUAAAAUGCGUAAAUAUAUGGAAGAACACCAGUGGCGAAGGCGGCUCGCUGGGUCGAUACUGACACUGAGGCACGAAAGCGUGGGGAGCAAACAGGAUUAGAUACCCCGGUAGUC